Non-coding RNA from Punica granatum (pomegranate), 481 nucleotides. The record is from RefSeq and is a predicted model, not a curated record. NCBI's taxonomy places the organism in Eukaryota, Viridiplantae, Streptophyta, Magnoliopsida, Myrtales, Lythraceae.
UUUUCCCACCGCCAUUGACUUCUUUAUCUUCCUUUCUUAUUCUGUUUUGGGUUGUUGAGGAAAACGAAAAGAAACAGAGCACGAGAGAGAGAGAGAACACGAGAGCUUCAGGAAGAGCUCGACUUUGCCUCAGGUUCAAUUACCGACCAAUUUCGGGAGCUGAGGAGACCGAGAAUAUACACCUGGAAGGCUCGACUCGUUGAGUUAUCGUUUUGGGGGGUCUUAAUGAGCCGGGAGCUAGAUUAACCGCACAUGAUAUCUUUUUGGACAACUAGGAUCAGCGCAGAGGAUCUUUUUGCAGUAGGGCCCACUCCUAGUAUAAGUAGUAAGUUCUUGUAGAAUGUUAUGAUUAAGUUACGACCUGGAACUUUUGUUUAGUUGGGUUAGUAAUAGGGUUGUGGAAAGUACUCUCUUGAGAGUUAUAUAUAUAUAUAUAUAUAUAUAUCAGAACCUGCUGAAUUGAUUAUAUGCUUUUGGUAUA